RNAcentral lists this ribosomal RNA (500 nucleotides) under uncultured bacterium. RNAcentral describes it as "partial 16S ribosomal RNA". It matches the Rfam family "Bacterial small subunit ribosomal RNA", at positions 29 to 507 of the family's 1533-position model. The record is from RNAcentral.
AAUCAACGCUGGCGGCGUGCCUAACACAUGCAAGUCGAACGCGAAAGCCCCGCAAGGGGUAAGUAGAGUGGCCAACGGGUGAGUAACACGUGGGUGACCUGCCUUCGAGUGGGGGAUAACGUCCCGAAAGGGACGCUAAUACCGCAUGACAUCCUGCUUUUGAAAAAGCGGAGCUCAAAGCUGGGGAUCGCAAGACCUAGCGCGUGCAGAGGGGCCCGCGGCUGAUUAGGUAGUUGGGGAGGUAACGGCUCACCAACGCGACGAUCAGUAUCCGGCCUGAGGGGGCGGACGGACCCCCUGGGACUGAGACACGGGCCAGACUCCUACGGGAGGGAGCAGUGGGGAAUUGUUCGCAAUAGGCGCAAGGCUGACGACGCAACGCCGCGUGGAGGACGAAGAUCUUCGGGUCGUAAACUCCUGUCGAGCGGGACGAACGCUUCGCGGAUGAAUAAUCCGCGGAAUUGACGGUACCGCUAAAGGAAGCCCCGGCUAACUCCGUG